Molecule: long non-coding RNA, 450 nt
Organism: Lepus europaeus (European hare)
Lineage: Eukaryota; Metazoa; Chordata; Mammalia; Lagomorpha; Leporidae
Exons: 3
Source: RefSeq, a predicted model, not a curated record
CGCGGCGUGGCUGAAGUGGCCUCGGAGCGCGGCGGGCGCGGCUGAGAAUCCUGAAGGGGACGACUUCUUUCUCUCACUACCGCCACCAGGACACCACCAGGACUCCGGCCACAUCUCCUCCCUCCAGGAUGGCUGCAGUGUCUCCCGCUACUACGCUGGCCGGCACAGCGGCCAGGUUCUCAGAUCCACUGAACCUAAAUAAAAGAACCUAACUAUAUUUUAAAAAAAAGAAGAAGAAGAAGAUGGCCCAAGUCCUUGGGCCCCUGCACCCACGUGGGAGACCCGGAGGAAGCCCUGGCUCCUGGCUUCAGAUCAGUGCAGCCCUGGCCAUUGCAGCCACUUGGGGGAGUGAACCAGUGGAUGGAAGAAUGGAAGACUUCUCUCUCUUCUUCUCUCCCUCCCUCUUUCUCUCUCUCUCUCUCUCUGCCUCUCCUUCUCUCUCUGUGUAAC